AACCCAGAUUCCAUAGCCAUCAGAGCUAAACACUGGUCCGAGUGGUUACAAAAGGAAGAAGAGUAAAAUCGAAACUGAUUUAGAUUCCUUUGUGACAAAUGAGCUAGUUUCCGUCAAGA
RNAcentral lists this small nucleolar RNA (119 nucleotides) under Echinops telfairi (small Madagascar hedgehog). RNAcentral describes it as "Small nucleolar RNA SNORA61 (ENSETEG00000024537.1)". Lineage: Eukaryota; Metazoa; Chordata; Mammalia; Afrosoricida; Tenrecidae. The record is from RNAcentral.